CCGUCUUUAGCUCAGCUGGUAGAGCGCGAGACUGUAAUGGCAUUAAGUUAUCUCGAUGUCACCUGUUCGACCCAGGUAAGACGGA
This is a non-coding RNA of Mycena galopus ATCC 62051, 85 nucleotides long. Lineage: Eukaryota; Fungi; Basidiomycota; Agaricomycetes; Agaricales; Mycenaceae. The record is from the annotation of a GenBank genome assembly.